Molecule: ribosomal RNA, 536 nt
Filed under: uncultured bacterium
Lineage: Bacteria
Description: partial 16S ribosomal RNA
Rfam family: Bacterial small subunit ribosomal RNA
Source: RNAcentral
GAUGAACGCUGGCGGUAUGCCUAAUACAUGCAAGUCGAACGCACUGUCCCUUUGAAAAUGAAGUGCUUGCACGGAUUCGGAUUUGGAUUUGCAAUGAGUGGCGGACGGGUGAGUAACACGUAGGUAACCUACCUUCAAGUUUGGAAUAACCAUUAGAAAUGAUAGCUAAUACCGGAUAACAUGUUUUGUCGCAUGAUGAGAUAUUGAAAGGUGCGUUUGCAUCGCUUGAAGAUGGACCUGCGGGCAUUAGCUAGUAGGUAAGGUAAUGGCUUACCUAGGCGAUGAUGCAUAGCCGAGCUGAGAGGCUGAACGGCCACAAUGGAACUGAGACACGGUCCAUACUCCUACGGGAGGCAGCAGUAGGGAAUUUUUCGCAAUGGACGAAAGUCUGACGGAGCAAUACCGCGUGUGGGAUGAAUGUUUUCGGACUGUAAACCACUGUUGCAUAGGAAGAAAAAAUAAAUUAGGAAAUGAAUUUAUCUUGACGGUACUGUGCCAGAAAGCGACGGCUAACUACGUGCCAGCAGCCGCAGUAA